RNA transcript from Dama dama (fallow deer), 6347 nucleotides. It is a transcript of the gene named RAB33A, member RAS oncogene family, with no coding region annotated. NCBI's taxonomy places the organism in Eukaryota, Metazoa, Chordata, Mammalia, Artiodactyla, Cervidae. The transcript has 2 exons. The record is from RefSeq and is a predicted model, not a curated record.
AACACAAUUUAUUAAGACACACACACAUACAAAAAUAAAAUAGUUAAUACAUGUUUAUGACUAAAUGUCAAUGCAUUGCACAAGACUUAAAUGCACAUUGGGCUGUGUCAUAUUCACUGUCAAAUGACCAAGGGGGAAAAAAAAACUGAAAACUGUACACACAAAUACAACAGAUAUCAGAAUGUACACUCUAAAGUUGUUGGAGUUUUACAAGUAUAAUUUAAUGCUGUCCAGGGAGGAAUUUAUAGCUUCCAGAAAAGGUAAUGAAAAACAUGGGCAGUUCAUCAAAUACUUCUCUCUUCACAUCUUCACCAAAAAUGAAGCAAACACGGAGAGAUGACUGAAUAGACAGAUAUAACAAGUUAACUACAGGCUACCUGGGACACUCUAACAAUCACUUAAGGAGUAAUUUAAAUGGCUGGCUCAAAUCUUGCACAAAUAGACUCCAGCAACACACUCUAACCAGAAUAGAGUUUAGCCUUGCAUGAAAGGUAAUAUGUCCUGGAAGACAGAAAUACUAAAUCUCAGAAGAAAACCAGAAAAAAAAAUUAGGUGAAUUUAUCUCCCCCAAAGAACUGAAGAAUUUUGGAUUAUAUUUUUUAGAAUGACAAAAUUUAAAAUAUACACUGACUAAUUGGCUCUUAGUCCUCCAAAAUAAUACAAAGAUUAUGUUGAUGUAGAAACUCGGAAUGGCUAUUAAGAAUCUGAGGAUCAUAACAACGCUCACACAUGGAAAUGUCAGAGUUUCAUAGACUUCUUUCUCCAGGAGGAUGCUGGCAUUUUCAAAUGAAGGAAGAAGGUCCCAGCACCUUCCCUGUUUGUGACAGCCUUCAUGUUGACUACUGACCUAGAACAGGGCUUUGCAAAUUUUUUCUGUAAAGAACCAGAUAGAAAAUCUUUUCAGCUUUGCAGGCCACACAGUCUCUGCUGUAACUACUUAAUCCUGCUGAUGUUGUGCCAAAGCAACCACAACAUAAAAAUGAAUGGGUGUGAUUGUGUCCCAACAAAACUUUGUUAGCAGACAGUGAAAUGUGAAUUUUAAAUAAUUUUCAAAAAAUCGUCUAUUAAAAAUUUUUUUGAGCCAUCUUAAAAAUGUAAAAACCAAUUUUAGCUCAAGGGGCAUAGGAAAGCAUGUGGGUUUGGCCUGUGGGCUGUAGUUUGCCAAUCCUGAUCUAGAGCAGUGGUUCUAAAACUUGAGUGGGCAUCAGAGUCCCCCAGAGGGUUUAUUAAAGCAUGGAAGGCCAGACCUACACCACCCCCACCCCAGAGUCUCUGAGCUGGAGGAUCUGGGAUAGGGCUCAAGAAAUAGCAUUUCUAAUGAGUUCCAAGGUGAUACUGAUGCUGCCAGUCUACACUUCGAGAAUCACUGGUCUAGAGGCAAGUAGGUAUGUUCUGAUCUGACCAAGCUUUAAAAGACAAACACAAGAGCGCCGGUAGCUGGUCCAUAUGUACUUGUAGAAAUUCAAAAUAGAGAGCUUUUCCUCAGCUUUCACAAUUACAGGGCUCAGAGGGGUACAAACAUGUCCAAAACACAGCUGCAUUCUCUUACCUGAAAUCCUUGGGAACAUGGGCAUCCCAGAGCUUAGAAUUAUUAGGUGGUAAGUAUAUAAUGCAUAUACCAUAUAGUAAGUAACACCCAGCACAAUAAGGGGCAGCAACCCAGUCACACGCAUUAAUGUUUCUAUGACCGAUCACAAUGAAGAGAAUAAACAAAAGAUUCUAAGUUAACUUCUCUCCAGUUCGGGUUACAAAAACUUGACAAAUGAGUUCCAAAAACUUGAUUUUUUUUAGUCCUAUUUUUAUUUCUAAAUUAUAGAUAAGAAACUAUGGAUCUAUAUUCUUAGAACUGGAAAUGUAUUUUUCUCUACUGUUUUUAUUUCUUACCUGUUUUAGAAUCUUUCAUCACUGAAUAAAAUUAAAUGGCUUAUAUAUGCGAACAACAACAAAUCAUGAAAAUAAAAACAUGGGCAAGGGUUGAGAAACUUAUCUCAAUCUGGGCAAGCUUUUGAUUUUCAGAAGUCCAUAAAAAUGAUGAGGCAUCAGAAAUAGAAACUGACAAAUCUCAGAGCUUAGAAAAUGAAACUGGGUAGAAAAAGUUCCACAUGGUUAGAUAUAGUACAAUGAAUUUAGUUGUCUCUUACCUCCAUCCCAAGUUUUCUUUUUAACCAAAAAUAAAUGUUUUCAAAAUUCCAUUUAUUCCUCUAGAAGAUGCUAAAUCUAAAAACCAUAACAACUUUGUUUUAGUAUAAUAAUUUAAGUUCAGCAGUUUUUGCCUCAAUUUGCAAAAAAAAGACAUUUAAAAGCAAAUUGACUUUUAAAAAAGGAAAUGGGUUUACAUUUACACUAUUGCUUGAAAAGAAGUACAACACAAUACAGUCAUUAACAAACCAACUUUUUACAUAUCUAGUGACUUUAAUUUUGUAAAAGAUGAUAAUAUGGUAUGGAUGUUCAUAUUUCCCUCCAAUUUUCUUUUACCUAUAAAGUUAUUCCCCCCCCAAAAAAAAAUUAUUCCCACACCUUUCCUACCACAGCCUCAGAGUUUUAGGAAAUCUUACAUAAAGACUGAAACAUGCCUUUUCAUUUGUCUUACUAAUGUGGGAAAGCCCCCUUAAUCCUUGACCUCUCAUUGCACCAAUCUACUUUUUUAGAUUUUCUGCAGUCAGACCACAUGUACCAAAGUAGAGCUUUCUUCCUCACACUUAUGAUUUUUUUAAACUGAUCAUUUAUACAUAAUAAUAUGAUUGCCACUUUUGCGAUAAUUAGAACCUCUACCAUGUCAUAUAAUUAUCAUUUCUUUGUAGUUGUUGGAAUAAUUAAGAUCUAGUUUCUUAGCAAGUCUGAUAUUAUAAUACAAUAUUAUUGUCUAUAUUCAUUAUAUCAUGCAAGGAUUCAAUUCCUGUAGGAGUUUGCUCAAUAAAUAUUUCAUGAAUUAAUGAAUAUAAUAAAGAAAUAGAAAUUCAUCCCAGUUCUACUGAUAAGGACUGAACAUUUUGAAGAAAUUUUUGCAAAGAAGUUUUGAAUACCACAGGCUAGCGUUAGAAUAGUACCUAAAUCACAAAUUCACUGUUGUAGGUUUCAUAAUCUCAUAUUUUUCCAUACACCCAGAAGUCCUUAUCCACAAAUACAUCCAUACAAUUGAGGCACCCAGAAAUUUCAAGUGGUUAGGAGGUCUAAUAUGCUCUUGAAUCUUGUUUUCUGAACAUCAAACUUAUUCUUCUGACAUGUCUAAAACACCGGAUCAGACAAGCCUAGGUAAUCUGUCCAUUGCAGCUAAAUGCCUCUUGUGUGAAACACUCCAAAGAAAGGCACCAGAAGAAAAAUGAUUUUGAUGACACACAAAAAGAUCUAACUCUAUUCUGCAAAGUUAAGUCCUUCACAGUACUAGGGUUCAGUCACUGAGAAUUUACCAUGUACCAGACUGUACAAAAUGCUGAGGACACAAAACUAAAUGUGACACAAUUCCUGUCCUCCAGUAGUGUACAGUUUAGCAGGGGAGAAUGGAUGUAACUAUUCUGAGUAUCAGAAAAAUGGGCUUGACACAAAUCACAAGAGAUUCAAGGUUGCUCAGUUUGGCUUUUUAAUCCUUAGGUCAGUGGAACAAAAGGGAGUCAUUAUUCACUCAGAGUAGCAGUUUCCAAACUUGCCUGAUCAUUUGAAUUACAUCAGCAGCCUUGUUAAAUAUAAAUUCCCACGGCUCUCUCCCAAAGAUUCUCAUUUGGUACAGUUGGGGUUGGCCCUCCACUUUAACUUAUUCAACCAGGCAAGUUUGGAAACAUGAAAGUUACAAUAUACAGAAACUCCCUUAAAUUAUUAGCAAAUGUCUAGAAGAAAAGGUUGACUUGCUAAAAUUUUCUUCUGGAAAGUUCUGUCCCAGCAAAAAGAGGGGGUAAAGGCUUGUCUUCUAGGCUUCAAAAAAGUGUCAUUUGGCAGUGUCCAGGAAGUCUGGAUCAUUGCCCACAAGGAAUACAGCUUCUUUUUUAAGAGGGUGAAAAGUGUUCUGAACAGAGCAAAAUGUUCAAACAUUUGACCCUCAGGUCGGGGGCCAGUGAUGAGUUUGAUCACAUCGAUAGCACAAUGUUUGAUAACCAAAUAAAAAACUACAUAACAGAAAACAUCUAUUACCUACCUAACCCAUAUGCUCCUCAAUUCUGAAUGCUUACACAAAGUGGUUACUAUAAAUUACCUUCAAUCAUUUCUGGAAAGAGGCAGAGCAUCCAAAUAUAGUAAAUAACCAGAGAGUGGCAAUUAUCGUUUUAAGGCAAAGGGCAACAUAUAAUGCAAAUGAACUGGACAAUAGUGACAGAUAUGGAUGAGAUGUUCCAAGGCAGGUUUCAAGUUUGCUAUAAUCCUGGCAAAGAACUAGUGAGGAGGGAGGGGAAAACAGGAAGGGGAAAUGGCCUAUCUACAAACAUGCCUCUCCCUGAUCUAUGUGAAAAUAUAUGGUAAACAAUACUAUGGGCAAAAGAAUUCAGAUUAAGAGCAAUUAGUCAUUAAGCCACAAAACAAGGUUGAUUCCUAAAACGACAGAAUCAUUUCUUUUUGAAAUUGUAACCCCACCCCCACCCAUUGCUAAAGACAAUAAGGUUAUCCUCUGGUGCUUGGCCAAAGGGCAAAUAACUGUAUACAAAGAAAUGGAUGGAUCUGUCAAGAAGUCAGAAUAUACUCUAGAGCAGACUUAAAACAAAGUCAUGCAAUGGAAAAGAACACUUUUAGUGAGUAUUUUUCAGUAGUUCUAAUAUCACCAACCAUCUCAAACGUCUCUUAAAUCAAUUCACCUUUGCAAAUCCACACUUAAUUGAUGAGAACGUUUGUUCAGACUUCAGAAUGUUGGCAAAAGUUGUGAGUUUUAGGCAAAAUAAGUACACAGUUUGAAAGCCCAGUGUGGAUGAAAAUCAUCAGCUUACCUAAAUUUCUGUCCAACUUACAUACAGCAUCCUCAAUUCAACGCACAAAACCCAUACAGAUGACAUCAUAGACAGGAUGUUAGUUUUUCAAACCUAAUCUAGUUUUUCAAACCUCUGUUAAGGCAGAAGUGUUUAAGUUUCAAGAGCAACAUGCCUUAGGACAUACCUCAGGUACACCCAUCAGGAAACAUUUUCUUGAGGGAUAGCAACUGGAAAAACUAUUCAAAUGUACAUUUAUAAAGACUCUCACAAUCUAAGGGAAAUAUUUUCCACUUUUUAAAAAGCACCCAGCAAGCAGUUCCACGUUGAAAAGGCCUCAAGGCAGUUCUAUAUUGACACUGCUAAUAUGAAUAUCCUUGGGUGACCAUUCAAGGAUUAUUGAUGGAAAAAAAAAAAUAAACCAACAAAACCAAGCACCUUCUACUGGUGGAUAAUUCUUUACCCCCUUGAAGUUGUGCAGGUUGAAAAUUGGCAGGUUCAAGACAGGUUUAGAUAAAUUCAAGGAUAUCCGAUGCCCAAUGGGCUUAAAGGGGAACCAGAUUUAUCCUUAACCUUUUGAGAUCAAACUUUAGGAAGCAGUGUGGAGUUGGGGCAAGAGGAUUAAGGACCUAGAGACUGGCAAACUAUCCUCUGCUCUACCUAUUAAUUAGGUAUAUGACCUUGAGCAAGUAAUCUCACCUCUCUGUGCCUCGGUUUAUUAUCUAUAAAAUGAGUGGGUUUGAAUUUUACCAUGAAAUCCCUUCCAGCUCUAAAAUUUGCUGAAACAAGUUCAUGGGCGGGGGCGGGGGCAAAUACAAUGUGUUCUGCAAACUGUUUCUUUGUAACAUUAGAGACCAUCAAGAAUUACACUGACCAGGCAACUCAACUCAAAUGAAUUCUGGGCCAACUCUUUGCGGUGGCUGGCGCACAGCGGACAGACUUCUUACUUGCAUUGCACUAUUUCUGUUUCCCAAGGGACUCAAACCUGUGACUCUCAUCUGGGGUUUGGAAGGUAAGCAGGUUAUAUGCUCACUUACAGAAGAACUGAGGCGCAGGGCUUGUGUCCUGCUUCAAGUCCCACAAAUCGAUAAAUGACAAAGUCUACUUGACCUCACUGCUCUAAAAAGGCGAACUGGGGGUGGCCGGGAGGUGGCACUGAACAAUAAACGUCAGCCAGCUCUUCUGUUAUCCCUGGACAGCCAACCCUCACAGGAAGAGGCCUCAAGCCGACUACCGGGCUCAGAUCCUUUGAAGGUCAGGUCGGCUCGGCUUGCGAAACUCACGGUUUGGAUCCCGCCAAUUCGGAAUUCACACGAUCGAUCGUUCAGGUGUGGGACACAGCGGGCCAGGAACGCUUCCGCAAGAGCAUGGUGGAGCACUAUUACCGCAACGUGCAUGCUGUGGUCUUUGUCUACGACGUCACGAAGAUGACAUCCUUCACCAACCUCAAAAUGUGGAUCCAAG